Urocitellus parryii (Arctic ground squirrel) is the source of this 717-nucleotide non-coding RNA. The record is from RefSeq and is a predicted model, not a curated record. Lineage: Eukaryota; Metazoa; Chordata; Mammalia; Rodentia; Sciuridae.
AUGCUCGCUGCGGGGGUCGGAGGUCAGGGCGAGCGUCUCGCGGGCCGAAGAAGGAAGAUGGCGGUGGAAUCCCGCGUAACCCAGGAGGAAAUUAAGAAAGAGCCAGAGAAGCCAAUUGACCGCGAGAAGACAUGCCCGCUGCUGUUGCGAGUCUUCACCACCAAUAAYGGCCGCCACCACCGAAUGGAUGAAUUCUCCCGCRGAAACRUACCCUCCAGCGAGCUGCAGAUCUAUACUUGGAUGGAUGCAACUUUGAAAGAACUAACUAGUUUAGUAAAAGAAGUUUACCCAGAAGCUAGAAAGAAGGGAACACACUUCAAUUUUGCAAUUGUUUUUAUGGAUCUUAAAAGACCUGGCUAUCGAGUUAAGGAGAUUGGCAGCACCAUGUCUGGCAGAAAGGGGACUGACGAUUCCAUGACCUUGCAGUCGCAGAAGUUCCAGAUAGGCGAUUAUUUGGACAUAGCCAUUACCCCUCCAAAUCGAGCACGGCCUCCUUCAGGGCGUAUGAGACCAUAUUAAAUUAUAUUUACUAUCUCUCAAAUUUAUUUUUCAGCCAGUUAUGUAAAAUAAACUUACAUACUCUUUCCUCCCCUGAUUUUUGCCAUUAAGCCUUUAAAUUCUAAACAAAUUGUAAUGCAUCUAUUUAGGAGUUAGAUUUGGAUAUACUAUGGGUAUAGAUAUUAAUAGAAAGUCUGUAUGUUUCACGCCUCUGUAAAA